UGAAAUCCUCCCCAUCCAUUGUUGUAAGCAUCAAAGCACCGCCUGAAAAGGCUCCCUUAACAACAUAUGGACCCUCGUAGUUUGGAGUCCACUUGCCCCUGGAAUCGGGCGCGAAAGACAAGACUUUCUUGAGCACGAGGUCACCUUCUCGGAACACACGAGGCUUGACCUUCUUAUCAAAUGCUUUCUUCAUUCUCUGUU
This 201-nucleotide long non-coding RNA is filed under the name Lathyrus oleraceus (garden pea). RNAcentral describes it as "Pisum sativum (pea) long non-coding RNA (PSAT_LNC024787)". The record is from RNAcentral. Lineage: Eukaryota; Viridiplantae; Streptophyta; Magnoliopsida; Fabales; Fabaceae.